Molecule: transfer RNA, 74 nt
Filed under: Herbiconiux daphne
Lineage: Bacteria; Bacillati; Actinomycetota; Actinomycetes; Micrococcales; Microbacteriaceae
Description: tRNA-Cys
Rfam family: tRNA
About the family: Transfer RNA (tRNA) molecules are approximately 80 nucleotides in length. Their secondary structure includes four short double-helical elements and three loops (D, anti-codon, and T loops).
Source: RNAcentral
CGCGGUGUGCCCGAGUGGUGAGGGAGCGGCCUGCAAAGCCGUCUACGCCGGUUCGAUUCCGGUCACCGCGUCCA